RNAcentral lists this long non-coding RNA (2753 nucleotides) under Lytechinus variegatus (green sea urchin). RNAcentral's name for it is "uncharacterized LOC121411804, transcript variant X1". The record is from RNAcentral. Lineage: Eukaryota; Metazoa; Echinodermata; Echinoidea; Temnopleuroida; Toxopneustidae.
GAUUCUUUUUCCGAUCACACCCUCAUCAUUCACUGCGGUUUGGGAAUACGGCGGUGGAGGUUGUGACGUUUCCAGUGUUCUGACUCUGAGCUGCACUCAAUAUCGGUUUCCUACUGACGAGUAUGGGUUUUUUUCUUGGAUUAUAUCCGUGGUGACGCGAAUUUUCAGCUAAGAUCUAUUCAAGCCUAAACGAAUUCAAGAAGAGAAAAUUAUACAGUGCUCCGAAGCAUGUUAUGUAAUAUUUUCAACUAGCAAAAUGUUUUUCAUUUGGAUCUAAUUCGGCACAUGGAACAAUUUGGUGAAUAUCUAAAAUAUUAUCUUUACCAUAUUUGGCCGUCGGAGAACCCAAUCAACACAACCACGUUUAACCCUCGCUGUGAGCUAGUUUAUUCGACAGCAUUCAGUGGAGCGAAAUUCAAGAAACGGGAAAAGUGGUGCUUGGAUCAGAUGCUUGUCCCCGCAGCCUGUCGACCAAACUCUUGAAAUGGUCCACUUAAGUUCGAGCAGUUUCCUCAUUGGUCUAACUGUACCAGGGAAAAGUGUUAUCUGCGCCAGAUGCUUGCCUUCGCAGGCUGUCGACCAAGCCCCUUAAAUGGUCCUGGAAUCUCGAGCAGUUUCCUCAUUGGUCUAAUAUCGAACCAGGUAAAAGUAUGCCAAACAAAUCAUGCAGAUACAAGCGUCCAUACAGCAAACCGAUCAAGCUCCUCAAAUGGUCCAGGACGUACUAGGAGUUUUCUUUUGGGUUAUGAACUUCGAAAAAUGGCGUCUGCAAGAGAUGUCUCAAGAGAUUGCCUGCCGACCUAGCUCCUCAAGUCGUCUGGGAAGUUCGAGAAAUGUCCUCAUUACAUUUGCGGAUACAUGCAGGAAGUGUUUAGCUCAAUGUAAGAAUGACGCUUCGGGCCGCAGUUGCGAAUAAAGCCUGAACGACGAGAAAACAAAUCUCGGAGAAAGGAAUAGGGAUAAAUCUUAGCUCUGCAAUUGGCAGUUGCAGAAAGAUCAGAAUGACUAAAGAAAGAAAGAUUUUGUUGGAUGAAGAUUACGUCUUCUGUGUAAGGCUGCAGAUGGAUCAAGGAGAAGAAGACUGAACAAGGAUUGGAUAUAUUUAGGAAAGAGAAUCCUUCUGCUAUGGAGAAGUUUAUCUCACUGCUUCUGUCUACAAUUAUUGUUUUCGGAUAGAUAGAUUAGAAAAUGAAAUGUUAAAUGAAAAAAUAUUAGUUUUACGAAAUUUAGAGAGACUUUGCAAAUGAGAUGACCAUUUGAUAAAGUUCCAGCUAUUCUUGCGGAUAGAUCCAGAAGGACCAGAAUAGGAUACUAUGUGGGCAGCUUGUAAUGGCAAGUUCUGAACUAAACAGAUGGUCGCGGCAAGAUUAUUAUUAUGGAGGUUGUUUUCAUAAUUAUGCAAAAUAUCGACGAGAUGAUAGGCUACUAUACUACAUUCAGAAACGAAUACUUAUUUCAAGGAUCCCAAACAGCAAACAUCAUCAUAUGAUGUAUAUGCACACCUUCCGCCCACGGGAAGAAAGAUCCAUACUGGAUACUUCGAAGGCUUUGACAAAGAAGAUAAUACGUCGUCAUGACUAACGACGGACUCAAGAACAUAGUAAAGUAUAUUCUUAACUGCUCUUCAUGACAAAGCACAACCAAGAAUUUUUUGUGGAAAAUCGGGGAAUCAAAACAGCAGUUUUGUCCUGAACACCGAACAAACGACAUUUGCAAUUGUUCAUCAUCUCCGAAAAACGUAUAGGACGAAACGCCGUUCCGUUUCACCAAUUUUCGUCACAGACCACCCAGCUGUUCUUUGUCAUUCGACGAGCAUUUACAAUACAUUAUAUGUGUUCUUGAAUCAGUCCCCGUUGCAGUUACGAGAUCAUGGACCGAACCAAUGUGUAUAAACUCGUUCCCAUGUUCAGUAGAUAUGUAAACUAUGCGAAUGGUAUUUCAAAUAACCAUCUUUCGAAUAAGAAACAUUAGUUCGGAAGUCGGACUCACAAACAGAAUUGGCAACAUAAUAAACUUGCAAGGUCCCGUCCAGUAUCCUGUUGGUGUUUUUUUUUAAUGAAAUUAUCAAUAAUUCAUGCAAUCUGUAUAUUGUAAUUGCCAGGGGUGUAGAUAUGUGACGUAACGCUUUUUCGAAGGAGAGGAAGACAUGAUAAAUCAUCCCCAUGAACCAAUUCGGUGUUGAUAUAGGAUACUGUUAAUAAAUUCAUGUAGGCCUAUACCUACAACUCGUAAAUGUAGAAAAGACUCAAACUUCAUGAGUGUGGCGGAAAUUUUUUUUUACUAGGACAGUGCCAAAGUUUACAUGCAUGGUCGUAUGAAGUGUGCGUGUGGGAAUGUGUGCAAUUCCUUAUCCCCUGAAUUAAAUUAUAAAAAAAAAAUUCUUCUCUCGAUUUGUCACGAAAUCCCACCCAAAUUGUGCACCAGAAUCUUCUAUUUCACUUAAAAAAAACCCUCUCUUGUUUAGCUCCCUUGUUUCUAGCAAUGCACUCAUGGGCAUUCAUCCCGAUAUGAUAUACAUGAUGUUGAUUAAGUGUGGAAAAUCAAGUUCCUAGAGGCAUGUCCAGCAACUAUAGAGGAGGAUUAGAUGUAUAGUCGUGUUUCUGGUGGUGAAUUCAAUUUGUAAUUAUGUGCUUUCAUGUUGCGCGUAAAAUGGUGACCGGUAUUGGUCCGUUGGUCUCUCUGUAAAACUCUAGAAAUGCUGAACUGAAAUGCUUUGACAUGUUUGAUGAUGUCUGAUAGAACUCUUCACAGUA